AACGAACGCUGGCGGCAUGCCUAACACAUGCAAGUCGAACGAAGUCUUCGGACUUAGUGGCGCACGGGUGCGUAACGCGUGGGAAUCUGCCCUUGGGUGCGGAAUAACUUCUCGAAAGGGAUGCUAAUACCGCAUAAUGUCGUAAGACCAAAGAUUUAUCGCCCAAGGAUGAGCCCGCGUAAGAUUAGCUAGUUGGUGGGGUAAAAGCCUACCAAGGCGACGAUCUUUAGCUGGUCUGAGAGGAUGAUCAGCCACACUGGGACUGAGACACGGCCCAGACUCCUACGGGAGGCAGCAGUGGGGGAAUAUUGGACAAUGGGCGAAACCCUACGUAUACCACGACAAUAGCGCCGUGAGU
This 358-nucleotide ribosomal RNA is filed under the name uncultured bacterium. Its description in RNAcentral is "bacterial SSU rRNA". It matches the Rfam family "Bacterial small subunit ribosomal RNA", at positions 29 to 404 of the family's 1533-position model. The record is from RNAcentral.